RNAcentral lists this ribosomal RNA (382 nucleotides) under uncultured bacterium. RNAcentral's name for it is "bacterial SSU rRNA". It matches the Rfam family "Bacterial small subunit ribosomal RNA", at positions 28 to 411 of the family's 1533-position model. The record is from RNAcentral.
GAUAAACGCUGGCGGCGUGCCUAAUGCAUGCAAGUCGCACGGAGCGCUCUUUCGGGGGUGCUGAGUGGCGAACGGGUGAGGAACGCGUGGACAACCUACCCCGGCGUGGGGGAUACCCGCCAGAAAUGGCGGCUAAUACCGCGUACGGUUCUCUGGCGAGGGGCGUGGGGAAAGAAAGCCGUGAGGCGCGCUGGGAGGGGUCUGCGGCCGAUUAGCUGGUUGGCGGGGUAAUGGCUCACCAAGGCGAUGAUCGGUAGCUGGUCUGAGAGGAUGAUCAGCCACACGGGGACUGAGACACGGCCCCGACUCCUACGGGAGGCAGCAGCAAGGAAUUUUCCGCAAUGGGGGCAACCCUGACGGAGCAACGCCGCGUGACGGAUGA